This is a long non-coding RNA of Anopheles merus, 862 nucleotides long. RefSeq lists it as uncharacterized. The transcript is spliced from 2 exons. The record is from RefSeq and is a predicted model, not a curated record. NCBI's taxonomy places the organism in Eukaryota, Metazoa, Arthropoda, Insecta, Diptera, Culicidae.
AAUCACCCCUCGGUAAUCAAAGAAUACCGUCAGCAUCACCUUGAUGUUCGACCGGCUUUGGCGACCGUCCGUCCGGGGAGACCGUUCACUCGACCGACGACAAAAACAUUUGACGCAGCUCCGAAAACUAACUGUCACUCCUGUCAAAUUUGUCAAAAAUGUCAAAUUUUUGACAGGAUCGGAUUUUGGAUCGGAUUGAAUAGAAAAUCCGAUCUUCUGCCAGUGAGGCGAACCAAUGAGUGAGAAGUGAAGAGUGAGUAGUGGGAGAAUGUACAUUCUCACGUGAUAAUGAAGGAAAGUGAGAAAAAACGAGGUGGAUUGAAAGCAACGUAAAAUUGCAGGAUUGCCAACCGAAAAAAAAUAAAAUAUUUUGCUUCUUGGGGGAAUUGUACAUGUGUAUGUUAGGAGCCAAGUGCUGUGUGUCAUCUAAGGAGAUGUUUAUCAGGAAGGUAUUGUGUCAGGUGGUGGAGCAGGAGCUAUUGGAAGAGAAGAAGCAUACAUAUAGAUUAACAUCAGUGAAACUUACCUUUUUUUCUAUAGAAAUCGCCGUAAACCGAACCUCGUGUGACUAAAUGCUAGUCCAGCAUCUUGCGUGUUACACCAUUCCGGAUCGUGCCAGACGAGCUGCACAGAGCGAUAAAAAGGAGUUUCAGCAUAACUGCCCGGUGCUUUUGCAGUAGCGUGAAAUUGUUAAAGGAAAAAAUGAAUUCGAGUGAUUAUGGAGCUGCUACGCGUCAACGAGAAGACGAUGGGGAACAUAUUUCAUCGAUAGACGAUUUUGAAGAUGAAUUGAUUGAAUGUGACGGAGAAAAGGACUCAUCAUAUUCUUCAAGCGAUGUGAUGGGACUAUUGAAACAAAUUU